UGUGGCUCAGUGGUAGAGCACUUGCCUAGCAUGUAUGAGGCACUGGGUUCGAUUCUUAGCA
Molecule: transfer RNA, 61 nt
Filed under: Urocitellus parryii (Arctic ground squirrel)
Lineage: Eukaryota; Metazoa; Chordata; Mammalia; Rodentia; Sciuridae
Also listed under: 1 other name
Description: Spermophilus parryii (Arctic ground squirrel) tRNA
Rfam family: tRNA
About the family: Transfer RNA (tRNA) molecules are approximately 80 nucleotides in length. Their secondary structure includes four short double-helical elements and three loops (D, anti-codon, and T loops).
Source: Rfam by way of RNAcentral